UACGGAGGGUGCUAGCGUUAUCCGGAUUCACUGGGUUUAAAGGGUGCGUAGGUGGGCAAGUAAGUCAGUGGUGAAAUCUCCGGGCUUAACCCGGAAACUGCCAUUGAUACUAUUUGUCUUGAAUACUGUGGAGGUCAGCGGAAUAUGUCAUGUAGCGGUGAAAUGCUUAGAUAUGACAUAGAACACCAAUUGCGAAGGCAGCUGGCUACACAAAUAUUGACACUGAGGCACGAAAGCGUGGGGAUCAAACAGG
This 253-nucleotide ribosomal RNA is filed under the name uncultured bacterium. Its description in RNAcentral is "partial 16S ribosomal RNA". It matches the Rfam family "Bacterial small subunit ribosomal RNA", at positions 524 to 776 of the family's 1533-position model. The record is from RNAcentral.